UCCGAAGUAGCUCAGUGGUAGAGCAAUCGGCUGUUAACCGAUCGGUCGUAGGUUCGAAUCCUACCUUCGGAGCCA
Molecule: transfer RNA, 75 nt
Filed under: Ureibacillus terrenus
Lineage: Bacteria; Bacillati; Bacillota; Bacilli; Caryophanales; Caryophanaceae
Also listed under: 3 other names
Description: tRNA-Asn
Rfam family: tRNA
About the family: Transfer RNA (tRNA) molecules are approximately 80 nucleotides in length. Their secondary structure includes four short double-helical elements and three loops (D, anti-codon, and T loops).
Source: RNAcentral